AAUAGCUCACUGGUCGAGUCGGCCCGCGCGGAAGAUGUAACGGGGCUAAACCAUGCACCGAAGCUGCGGCAGCGAACGUAUCACUUAAAUUUGUUUGAGUGAAUAACGAUUGACGGAACGAAGUGACGUCAAUGCGUUAAUGAAAGUCGAGGCGAAAGCACGACAAAGCGAAUUUAAGGAUACGUUCGUUGGGUAGGGGAGCGUUCUGUAAGCCUGCGAAGGUGUACUGUGAGGUAUGCUGGAGGUAUCAGAAGUGCGAAUG
RNAcentral lists this ribosomal RNA (262 nucleotides) under Proteus mirabilis. Its description in RNAcentral is "partial 23S ribosomal RNA". It matches the Rfam family "Bacterial large subunit ribosomal RNA", at positions 1136 to 1296 of the family's 2925-position model. The record is from RNAcentral. Lineage: Bacteria; Pseudomonadati; Pseudomonadota; Gammaproteobacteria; Enterobacterales; Morganellaceae.